CACACUGUAAACGAUGUGCACUAGGUGCUGGGGCGGAUGCUUCAGUGCCGUAGCUAACGUGAUAAGUGCACCGCCUGGGGAGUAUGCUCGCAAGGGUGAAACUCAAAGGAAUUGACGGGGGCCCGCACAAGCGGUGGAGCAUGUGGUUUAAUUCGAUGGUACGCGAGGAACCUUACCUGGGUUUGACAUACAGCGUGAUAGGUCAGAGAUGAUCUAGCGUAGCAAUACGACGCUGUACAGGUGC
Molecule: ribosomal RNA, 244 nt
Filed under: uncultured bacterium
Lineage: Bacteria
Description: partial 16S ribosomal RNA
Rfam family: Bacterial small subunit ribosomal RNA
Source: RNAcentral